AAAAAAGGUAAGCUACUAAGAGCGAAUGGUGGAUGCCUUGACUGGUAAAGGCGAUGAAGGACGUACUAGACUGCGAUAAGCUACGGGGAGCUGUCAAGAAGCUUUGAUCCGUAGAUUUCCGAAUGGGGCAACCCAAUGUAUAGAGAUAUACAUUACCUAUAUAGGAGCGAACGAGGGGAAUUGAAACAUCUUAGUACUCUCAGGAAAAGAAAUCAAUAGAGAUUGCGUCAGUAGCGGCGAGCGAAAGCGCAAGAGGGCAAACCCAGUGCUUGCACUGGGGGUUGUAGGACUGCAAUGUGCAAGAGGUAAGUUUAGCAGAACAUUCUGGAAAGUAUAACCAUAGAGGGUGAUAGUCCCGUAUGCGAAAAACAAAGCUUAGCUAGCAGUAUCCUGAGUAGGGCGGGACACGAGGAAUCCUGUCUGAAUCCGGGUCGACCACGAUCCAACCCUAAAUACUAAUACCAGAUCGAUAGUGCACAAGUACCGUGAGGGAAAGGUGAAAAGAACUGAGGUGAUCAGAGUGAAAUAGAACCUGAAACCAUUUGCUUACAAUCAUUCAGAGCACUAUGUAGCAAUACAGUGUGAUGGACUGCCUUUUGCAUAAUGAGCCUGCGAGUUGUGGUGUCUGGCAAGGUUAAGCAAACGCGAAGCCGUAGCGAAAGCGAGUCUGAAUAGGGCGCUUAGUCAGAUGCUGCAGACCCGAAACGAAGUGAUCUAUCCAUGAGCAAGUUGAAGCUAGUGUAAGAACUAGUGGAGGACUGAACCCAUAGGCGUUGAAAAGCCCCGGGAUGACUUGUGGAUAGGGGUGAAAGGCCAAUCAAACUUCGUGAUAGCUGGUUCUCUCCGAAAUAUAUUUAGGUAUAGCGUUGUGUCGUAAUAUAAGGGGGUAGAGCACUGAAUGGGCUAGGGCAUACACCAAUGUACCAAACCCUAUCAAACUCCGAAUACCUUAUAUGUAAUCACAGCAGUCAGGCGGCGAGUGAUAAAAUCCGUCGUCAAGAGGGAAACAACCCAGACUACCAGCUAAGGUCCCUAAAUCUUACUUAAGUGGAAAACGAUGUGAAGUUACUUAAACAACCAGGAGGUUGGCUUAGAAGCAGCCAUCCUUUAAAGAAAGCGUAAUAGCUCACUGGUCUAGUGAUUUUGCGCGGAAAAUAUAACGGGGCUAAAGUAAGUACCGAAGCUGUAGACUU
This 1193-nucleotide ribosomal RNA is filed under the name Campylobacter jejuni. RNAcentral's name for it is "bacterial LSU rRNA". It matches the Rfam family "Bacterial large subunit ribosomal RNA", at positions 1 to 1209 of the family's 2925-position model. Lineage: Bacteria; Pseudomonadati; Campylobacterota; Epsilonproteobacteria; Campylobacterales; Campylobacteraceae. The record is from RNAcentral.